AAGGGCAGGCACGAAAAAGAAUUACACGGAGAAGGAGUCACGGGCAAAGAUGUAUAAGGAAUCAGGAGGUCACACACGCUUGCUAAUUCAACGUCUGUGAGUUGCAACCGCACGAAAAAUAUACGCUGGGAUACACACAGAUGGAUUAUAAAUGGUGAUGUAUGCAUGGCAGCUGUACAAGCCGACAGUUCCUGCAUGAUGUCAGUCAAACGUCGCGAGGAC
This is a long non-coding RNA of Carcharodon carcharias (great white shark), 222 nucleotides long. RefSeq lists it as uncharacterized. Lineage: Eukaryota; Metazoa; Chordata; Chondrichthyes; Lamniformes; Lamnidae. The transcript is spliced from 3 exons. The record is from RefSeq and is a predicted model, not a curated record.